This 494-nucleotide ribosomal RNA is filed under the name uncultured bacterium. RNAcentral describes it as "partial 16S ribosomal RNA". It matches the Rfam family "Bacterial small subunit ribosomal RNA", at positions 28 to 507 of the family's 1533-position model. The record is from RNAcentral.
GACGAACGCUGGCGGCGUGCUUAACACAUGCAAGUCGAACGGAAAGGCCUGCUUUCCCUUGUGGAUUGCGGGUACUCGAGUGGCGAACGGGUGAGUAACACGUGAGUGAUCAGCCCCCAACUUGGGUAUAAGCCUGGGAAACUGGGUCUAAUUCCCGAUAGGACUGCAGGGUGGUGCCUGUGGUGGAAAACGAUUUUCUAGUGGUUGGGGAUGAGCUCGCGGCCUAUCAGCUUGUUGGUGGGGUAAUGGCCUACCAAGGCGGCGACGGGUAGCCGGCCUGAGAGGGUGGACGGCCACAUUGGGACUGAGAUACGGCCCAGACUCCUACGGGAGGCAGCAGUGGGGAAUAUUGCACAAUGGGCGGAAGCCUGAUGCAGCGACGCCGCGUGGGGGAUGACGGCCUUCGGGUUGUAAACUCCUUUCGACCGCGAGGAAGCCACCUGGUUGGAAGGGUGGUGACGGUAGUGGUAGAAGAAGCACCGGCUAACUACGUG